Molecule: ribosomal RNA, 497 nt
Filed under: uncultured bacterium
Lineage: Bacteria
Description: partial 16S ribosomal RNA
Rfam family: Bacterial small subunit ribosomal RNA
Source: RNAcentral
GAUGAACGCUGGCGGCGUGCCUAAUACAUGCAAGUCGAGCGAACAGACGAGGAGCUUGCUCCUCUGACGUUAGCGGCGGACGGGUGAGUAACACGUGGAUAACCUACCUAUAAGACUGGGAUAACUUCGGGAAACCGGAGCUAAUACCGGAUAACAUAUUGAACCGCAUGGUUCAACAGUGAAAGACGGUCUUGCUGUCACUUAUAGAUGGAUCCGCGUCGCAUUAGCUAGUUGGUAAGGUAACGGCUUACCAAGGCAACGAUGCGUAGCCGACCUGAGAGGGUGAUCGGCCACACUGGAACUGAGACACGGUCCAGACUCCUACGGGAGGCAGCAGUAGGGAAUCUUCCGCAAUGGGCGAAAGCCUGACGGAGCAACGCCGCGUGAGUGAAGAAGGUCUUCGGAUCGUAAAACUCUGUUAUUAGGGAAGAACAAAUGUGUAAGUAACUAUGCACGUCUUGACGGUACCUAAUCAGAAAGCCACGGCUAACUACGUG